RNAcentral lists this ribosomal RNA (505 nucleotides) under uncultured bacterium. RNAcentral describes it as "bacterial SSU rRNA". It matches the Rfam family "Bacterial small subunit ribosomal RNA", at positions 8 to 518 of the family's 1533-position model. The record is from RNAcentral.
AGAGUUUGAUUCUGGCUCAGGAUGAACGCUGGCGGCGUGCUUAAUACAUGCAAGUCGAACGAAGUUUUCUCGCCGAAGUUUACUCAUUGAGAAAACUUAGUGGCGGACGGGUGAGUAACGCGUGGGUAACCUGCCUUACACAGGGGGAUAACAGUUAGAAAUGACUGCUAAUACCGCAUAAGCGCACAUAAUCGCAUGAUUCAGUGUGAAAAGAUUUAUCGGUGUAAGAUGGACCCGCGUCUGAUUAGCUAGUUGGUGAGGUAACGGCCCACCAAGGCGACGAUCAGUAGCCGGCCUGAGAGGGUGAACGGCCACAUUGGGACUGAGACACGGCCCAAACUCCUACGGGAGGCAGCAGUAGGGAAUAUUGGACAAUGGGGGAAACCCUGAUCCCAGCGACGCCGCGUGAGUGAAGAAGUAUUUCGGUACGUAAAGCUCUAUCAGCAGGGAAGAAAAUGACGGUACCUGACUAAGAAGCACCGGCUAAAUACGUGCCAGCCGCAGC